This 1454-nucleotide unclassified non-coding RNA is filed under the name uncultured fungus. RNAcentral describes it as "sequence contains 18S rRNA gene, ITS1, 5.8S rRNA gene, ITS2, 28S rRNA gene". The stretch from base 513 to 1454 matches the Rfam family "Eukaryotic large subunit ribosomal RNA", at positions 1 to 961 of the family's 3401-position model. Lineage: Eukaryota; Fungi. The record is from RNAcentral.
GGAAGGAUCAUUAACUAUAUUACGGGGGGCCGGACCCAAGGUACUGCGUACUCCGCUUGCCUUGACCUGCCCUGUCUGAAUAUUUUACCCAUGUCUUUUGCGUACUUAUUGUUUCCUUGGUGGGCUUGCCUGCCAUUAGGACACCAUAAAAACCUUUUGUAAUUGCAGUCAGCGUCAGACAAAACUUAAUAAUUAAAACUUUCAACAACGGAUCUCUUGGUUCUGGCAUCGAUGAAGAACGCAGCGAAAUGCGAUAAGUAGUGUGAAUUGCAGAAUUCAGUGAAUCAUCGAAUCUUUGAACGCACAUUGCGCCCCUUGGUAUUCCAUGGGGCAUGCCUGUUCGAGCGUCAUUUGUACCCUCAAGCUCUGCUUGGUGUUGGGUGUUUGUCUCGCAUGACCGCGUAGACUCGCCUUAAAGCAAUUGGCAGCCGGCAUAUUGGCCUUGGAGCGCAGCACAUUUUGCGCCUCUUGCCAUGAAUGUUGGCGUCCAUCAAGCGUAUACAUUUUGCUCUUGACCUCGGAUCAGGUAGGGAUACCCGCUGAACUUAAGCAUAUCAAUAAGCGGAGGAAAAGAAACCAACAGGGAUUGCCCUAGUAACGGCGAGUGAAGCGGCAACAGCUCAAAUUUGAAAUCUGGCUCUUUCAGAGUCCGAGUUGUAAUUUGCAGAGGGCGCUUUGGCGUUGGCAGCGGUCCAAGUUCCUUGGAACAGGACGUCACAGAGGGUGAGAAUCCCGUACGUGGUCGCUACCCUUCGCCGUGUAAAGCCCCUUCGACGAGUCGAGUUGUUUGGGAAUGCAGCUCUAAAUGGGAGGUAAAUUUCUUCUAAAGCUAAAUACUGGCCAGAGACCGAUAGCGCACAAGUAGAGUGAUCGAAAGAUGAAAAGCACUUUGGAAAGAGAGUCAAAUAGCACGUGAAAUUGUUGAAAGGGAAGCGCUUGCAGCCAGACUUGCCUGUAGUUGCUCAUCCGGGCUUUUGCCCGGUGCACUCUUCUGUAGGCAGGCCAGCAUCAGUUUGGGCGGUCGGAUAAAGGUCUCUGUCAAGUACCUCCUUUCGGGGAGGCCUUAUAGGGGAGACGUAAUGCGACCAGCCUGGACUGAGGUCCGCGCAUCUGCUAGGAUGCUGGCGUAAUGGCUGUAAGCGGCCCGUCUUGAAACACGGACCAAGGAGUCUAACAUCUAUGCGAGUGUUUGGGUGUCAAGCCCGAACGCGUAAUGAAAGUGAACGGAGGUGGGAACCCUUAAGGGCGCACCAUCGACCGAUCCUGAUGUCUUCGGAUGGAUUUGAGUAAGAGCAUGGCUGUUGGGACCCGAAAGAUGGUGAACUAUGCUUGAAUAGGGUGAAGCCAGAGGAAACUCUGGUGGAGGCUCGCAGCGGUUCUGACGUGCAAAUCGAUCGUCAAAUUUGGGCAUAGGGGCGAAAGACUAAUCGAACUAUCUAGUAGCUGGUUCCUGC